This 394-nucleotide ribosomal RNA is filed under the name uncultured bacterium. RNAcentral describes it as "partial 16S ribosomal RNA". It matches the Rfam family "Bacterial small subunit ribosomal RNA", at positions 338 to 729 of the family's 1533-position model. The record is from RNAcentral.
CCUACGGGAGGCAGCAGUGAGGAAUAUUGGUCAAUGGGCGUAAGCCUGAACCAGCCAAGUCGCGUGAGGGAUGACGGUCCUAUGGAUUGUAAACCUCUUUUAUCAGGGAGUAAAAUGCGCCACGUGUGGCGUUUCGUAAGUACCUGAUGAAUAAGCAUCGGCUAACUCCGUGCCAGCAGCCGCGGUAAUACGGAGGAUCCGAGCGUUAUCCGGAUUUAUUGGGUUUAAAGGGUGCGUAGGCGGGAUGUUAAGUCAGCGGUGAAAUUCAGUGGCUCAACCAUAGAAGUGCCGUUGAAACUGGUUGUCUUGAGUGUGCGAGAGGUAUGCGGAAUGCGUGGUGUAGCGGUGAAAUGCUUAGAUAUCACGCAGAACCCCGAUUGCGAAGGCAGCAUAC